AGCGAACGCUGGCGGCAGGCCUAACACAUGCAAGUCGAACGCCCCUUCGGGGGAGUGGCGGACGGGUUAGUACCGCGUGGGAAUGUGCCCUUUGGUACGGCACAACUGAUGGAAACUUCAGCUAAUACCGUAUGUGCCCUACGGUGGAAAGAUUUAUCGCCAUUGGAGCAGCCCGAGUUGGAUUAGGUAGUUGGUGGGGUAAUUGCCCACCAAGCCGACGAUCCAUAGAUGGUCUGAGAGGAUGAUAAGCCACACUGGGAGUGAGACACGGCCCAGACUCCUACGGGAGGCAGCAGUGGGGAAUCUUGCGAAAUGGGCGAAAGCCUGACGAAGCCAUGCCGCGUGAAUGAUGAAGGUCUUAGGAUUGUAAAAUUCUUUCACCGGGGAAGAUAAUGACGGUACCCGGAGAAGAAGCCCCGGCUAACUUCGUG
Molecule: ribosomal RNA, 431 nt
Filed under: uncultured bacterium
Lineage: Bacteria
Description: partial 16S ribosomal RNA
Rfam family: Bacterial small subunit ribosomal RNA
Source: RNAcentral